CUGCCAGUAGUGUAUGCUUCUCCUAAAGACUAAGCCAUGCAUGCCUUCGAAUAAGAGGAAGCAAUUCUCUCUGAAUCUGCGAACGGCUCCGCAAACCAGUUGUAAACUAUAGCAAGCAAGCUUGGGGUCGGCUUUCACGAGCUGGCCCUGGGCGAUAUGGAUAACCCUGGUAAUUCUGAGGCUAAUACAUGACCGUAACUCCUGGCGGACUGGGCUUCGGCCUGGGAAGCCGGGGGACGUGCGAUUUGAAGCUUGGUAACACCGGGAAAGGGCGCACGUCCAGAUCACGCUAAAAAGGUCGGGUUCCCUUCGGGGGGCCUGCCCCAGUGACUCUUGCUGUGUGCUUCUGACCUAUCAACUAGACGGCAGCGUAAGGGACAUGCUAUGGUGACAACGGGUACAGAGGAUUAGGGUUCGAUCCUGGAGAGUGGGCCUGAGAGAUUGCUCAUACUUCUAAGGAAGGCAGCAGGCGCGCAACGUUCCCCUUGGGCAAUGCCCGAGGGCGUUAGGGGACAUAUGAAUGCCUGCCCAUUGGGUGGGCAAUUCAAAUGGGUCUGUUGUAAACAGGCUCUCGAGUAACAAUUAGAGGACAAGUCUGGUGCCAGCACCCGCGGUAAUUCCAGCUCUAAUAGCAUACGUUAAAGUUGUUGCGGUUAAAACGCUCGUAGUCGGCUACAGACCGUCAGAAGCCUGAACAGGGAGCCUGGGUCUGCUGCCUUUCGGGGCGCGCCGGGUGACUAGCGAGGGUGGGCGGCGGUCAAUCGUGCAUCAGGCUGUACCUUCGGGUUCACAGGGCUAGGUCCGCUUUCGGGCGGGCUUGGUUCGGCUUGGUGUGCCAAUUACCAUGAUUAAACUGGGGUGAUCAAAGCAGGUCGUUCGACCUUGCACAGCGCAGCAUGGCAUAAACCAAGCCGGUCCGGUCUUUCAAGCGAGGCUGGGCUGGCAGUAGCAAAAGGGGUGUUCGAGGGUGACCGAAUUGCCGGGCGAGUGGUGAAAUACGUUGACCCUGGCAAGUCGACCAAAGGCGAAAGCAGUCAUCAAGGGCACGCCCGUUGAUCAAGAGCGAAAG
RNAcentral lists this ribosomal RNA (1069 nucleotides) under Lamproderma pseudomaculatum. RNAcentral describes it as "bacterial SSU rRNA". It matches the Rfam family "Eukaryotic small subunit ribosomal RNA", at positions 14 to 989 of the family's 1831-position model. Lineage: Eukaryota; Evosea; Eumycetozoa; Stemonitida; Stemonitidae. The record is from RNAcentral.